Molecule: ribosomal RNA, 253 nt
Filed under: uncultured bacterium
Lineage: Bacteria
Description: partial 16S ribosomal RNA
Rfam family: Bacterial small subunit ribosomal RNA
Source: RNAcentral
UACGGGGGGGGCAAGCGUUGUUCGGAAUUACUGGGCGUAAAGGGCGCGUAGGCGGCCUGCUAAGUCGGACGUGAAAUCCCUCGGCUCAACCGAGGAACUGCGUCCGAUACUGGUGGGCUUGAAUCCGGGAGAGGGAUGUGGAAUUCCAGGUGUAGCGGUGAAAUGCGUAGAUAUCGGGAGGAACACCAGUGGCGAAGGCGACUUCCUGGCCUGUUCUUGACGCUGAGGCGCGAAAGCUAGGGUAGCAAACGGG